GAAGGCAUAGCUCAGUGGUAGAGCACAUGCUUAGCAGUCACAAGGUCCUGGGUUCAAUCCCCAGUACCUCCA
Transfer RNA from Camelus ferus (Wild Bactrian camel), 72 nucleotides. It matches the Rfam family "tRNA". From Rfam's summary of the family: Transfer RNA (tRNA) molecules are approximately 80 nucleotides in length. The record is from Rfam. Lineage: Eukaryota; Metazoa; Chordata; Mammalia; Artiodactyla; Camelidae.